RNAcentral lists this ribosomal RNA (253 nucleotides) under uncultured bacterium. RNAcentral's name for it is "partial 16S ribosomal RNA". It matches the Rfam family "Bacterial small subunit ribosomal RNA", at positions 524 to 776 of the family's 1533-position model. The record is from RNAcentral.
GACAGAGGGUGCAACCGUUGUUCGGAAUUACUGGGCGUAAAGCGUGUGUAGGCGGCUACGUAAGUCGGAUGUGAAAGCCCCAGGCUCAACCUGGGAAGUGCACUCGAUACUGCGUAGCUUGAGUAUCGGAGAGGUUGGUGGAAUUCUCGGUGUAGAGGUGAAAUUCGUAGAUAUCGAGGGGAACACCGGUGGCGAAGGCGGCCAACUGGACGAAUACUGACGCUGAGACACGAAAGCGUGGGGAGCAAACAGG